CUCUGUUUUUCUGAAUUAACGAGUUAAUUAUCUCAGAAUUAUGAGAUACAUUUUUCUUGAAAAACAUUUUUUCACUCUGUUUUUAUGAAUUAAUGAGUUAAUUAUCUCAGAAUUAUGAGAAUAAUCUUCAUGAAAAAAAAAAUAUUUUGCUCUGUUUUUCUAAAUUAACGAGAUCCCUCAAAAUCCUGCGAGAAGCUUUCACCUGCACGAAGUAACGUCAGGCCACAGUUGCUGAUGCUAAUCAGCCUGACCCUUCAACAACAACAGUGCCAGGUCUACAUGGGUUCAGUGCAGGGCCAGCUAUGGCUACGUCUUCAAAUACCCCCCUCCCACAAGAUGACGGUCUGUGGAUGUUUCUUCAGAGCCGAGGGAUUCCUGAGGAAAAUAUUCAGAAAAUGCAGCAAGAUCAUAUUGACAGCUCGGUAAUUGGAGAAAUAGAUGAUGCCACUAUGACUGCUUACAUUCCAGCAUAUGGUGAUAGGAUUGCUACAAGGCAUUUCUGUAUGGAAAAACAGAGAAAAGGUGGUGAUGAUCUAAAAAGACUGUCCUUAUUUGAAAAACUUAGAAGAAAGAUGGGCACAUUGACAAGCAAUAAAGACACAGAUCAAGAUUUUGAGGAGGAGCAUUCUAUGCAGCCAACAAAGAUACAUCUGAGAAAUAACAAAAGGGCUGUGAAGAUGACAAGGAAAAUAGAACUAGGAUGGAUACACGACAAGAAACAAGUGAGAAAACUCAAUGGUGGAGGAACCAGAGUUCUUGAUAUUUCCAAGAAAGCCACAAAAACAGAGAUUCUAUCACAAGCUAAAAAGCUAUUUUUCCCCAAUGAGAAAUCGAGAAAGGGAAAGUGGGAAGAGUUCAGUCACAACAUUGUUGACUUUCAGGAAGCAUACCUUGAUGAGGAUGUUAGUGUGGGAGAGCUCUAUGAGACACAUAAAUUGGGGAUUUUAAGAUUUUACUUGUUCACAGAGCACCUGACAAAUGGAGAUGAAGUGUUCCCAGAGAUGACAGAAGGAACUGAUGAACAGACAGAUGCAGCGAGGCUAAAUGAGCGACAGAAAAACACAACAGAAGAUAAUGAGCAGGUGACACAAAAAACACAUGACAGUGAACAGCAGACACACACUGUGGAAGCUUUUGUCUCUACUGCUGUAGAGAUUGUUGAUCUUACAUCUUUGUGUGAUGAAUCGGAGGUCAUUUUUGGCCCUUUGCAAGGUGGACCAUUUUCAGAAGAUCUUGAUGACACAAUCUUACAUGAGCCUAUAGAAGAGGCACAGAUAACCUUCAAUGCCUACAGCUCAACUCCUGUCCAUUCUGACACAGUGCCUGCUGGCCCAUUAAGUCCUACUUAUGAACUUUUUCAUGUGACAGUGAAACUCCACAGAGUCAGUCUCUUGGAGGAACUGAUUACCCAAUUCAAGGAUGAAGCGAUGAUGUCCUACUCUGUGAAAUACAGCUUCAUUCAUGAAAUGGGGGCAGAUGCUGAUGGCGUGUCCAGGGAUGUAUAUGCUGCCUUCUGGACAGAGUUUUUAGACUGUGCAGCAGAGGGUGCAGAUGUGAGGGUGCCAUCACUAUCCCCAAAAUGGCAAGAGGAAGAAUGGAAAUCUGUUGGUAGGAUAAUGGUCAAGGGAUUAAAGGACCAUGGAUAUUUUCCUUCUCGGCUGGCUCAAGCCUUUACAGCAGCAAUCACAUUUGGUGAACACACUGUCUCACCUGAUUUAUUGUUUGACUCACUAAUGUUGUAUCUUAGUCAGUCUGAGCGCGAUCUCUUGUCCACUGCUUUGCAAGACGCCCUUGAUGGUGAUGAUGAAGAUGAGCUUCUUGAUCUUAU
Molecule: long non-coding RNA, 1828 nt
Organism: Cyprinus carpio carpio
Lineage: Eukaryota; Metazoa; Chordata; Actinopteri; Cypriniformes; Cyprinidae
Source: Ensembl